This 24-nucleotide non-coding RNA is filed under the name Arabidopsis thaliana (thale cress). Lineage: Eukaryota; Viridiplantae; Streptophyta; Magnoliopsida; Brassicales; Brassicaceae. The record is from RNAcentral.
UGGGCCAGCAGAUAAUGGGCCUAG